UGAGCUAUGAUUGCACCACUGCACUCCAGUCUGGGCGACAGAACCAGACCAUGUCUAAAAAGAAAAAACACUCAGUGAUAAUUUCACAUUACAGUUUGAGAGGUUCCUGUUGACUUGGGGAAACUAGUUUUAGCAGACUUCAUUAAAGGAGUGUACACCUUACUACAGGAUGUAAUUUAAAAUAGAAUGUUUAAAUAAUAAAUUCACUUCUGGGUAUAUACUCAAAGCAGGAAUUCAAACAGGUAUUUGUACACCAAAGUUCGUAACAGCAUUAUUCACAGUAGCCAAAAUGUGGAAACAACCCAAAUGUCCAUUAAAGGAUGAAUAAACAAAAUGUGAUAUACAUACAAUGGAAUAUUCAGCCUUUAUUUUUCCAAUCAGAGUUUCAGGAAAAUCAACCUUUAAAAGGAGUGAAAUUCUGACAUUUGCUGCCACAUGGAUGAAUCUUGAUGAUGAUAUGCUGAGUGAUAUAUAAUCAGUCACGGAAGGACAAAUACUGCAUGAUUCAAUUUAUAUCAGUGCUUUGCUAAUGACUGACCGGUGUGGAUGUAUAAAAGUCCAGCUCCGUGAUCUCAGACUUCCGGCCUCCAGAACUCAGGCCCUGACAUUGUAUAAGCUUCAGGCCCCACAAAACCUGGAUCUGCCCUGCCAGGAUCAGCAUCUAGAGGAAAACUACUACUUCCACAAUAGCACAACCAAUCUGAUCAUCCCUGCAUCAGUGAGCAUUCUCCAGAGAAACAGAGCCAACAGGAUAUGUGUAUAUAUGUGAAGAAAGACUUAUUUUAAGGAGUUGGCUCAUGCAAUUAUGGAGGUGCAAGUCCAAAAUCUGUAGGGCAGGCAGAUGGGCAGACUGGAGACCCAGAGAAGAGUUGCAGUUCAAGUCCAAAGUCGGUUGGAAGAAUUCCCUCUUGCUGGGUAACACUGGGGAAGCAGGAGUAGAUGGAAAGGGGAGGUGUCAGGCUUUGCUCUACCAAGGACUUCAACUGAUUGGAUGAGGCCCAGUAACAUUAUGGAGGGAAACCUGCUUUGCUCAGAGUUUACUGAUUUAAAUAUUAAUCUCAUCCACAAAAAAAUAAAUAACCUUCACAGAAACAUUUAGAAUAUUUGACCAAAUAUCUAAGUCCCAUGGCUCAGACAACUUAACACAUAAAAUUAUCCAUCACAAUUCCAUUAUCCCAAUACAGGUCGGCAGGGCCUUGGGCAGGUGGUAACCUCAGCUCUGGAGUCUACAGCAAUACUCUCACACUUAACAGAUGUAGUUCUGUGGGUCCAGGUCCCACUUCGCAAGAGAGAAUCUGAUGGGCUAAUUUCGACCAAGUCUCCUUUCCUAGUUCAAUCACGUGUAAGGGUUAGAGAAAGGGUUGGGCUCACAAGGGACUUAGGGCUGCCUCUCUGGACUUGGGAGAGCAGGACUUCUCAAGAGAUAAAUGGUUAGAGAGUAAUAUAAUUUGGAUAUUUGUCCCCUAUAAAUCUCAUGUUGAAAUUUGAUGUUCAAUGUUGAGGGCAGGUCUGGGACCUCCCUCCCUGCUUUUGCUCCCCCUCUCGCCAUAUGGCACAACUGCUCCCUUCACCUUCUGCUAUGAAUGGAAGCUUCCUGAGGCCUUCACCAAAAGCGGAGGCUGGUACCAUGCUUCACGCACAGCCUGCAGAAUCAUGAGCCAAAUAAACUACUUUUCUUUAUAAAUCAUCCAGUUUCAGGUAUUCGCUUAUAGCAACACAAAAUGGACUAAUACAGAGAGGAAAUAUUUUGAGCACAUUGAAGGCCCCAAAAUAUUGAGCUUUUUUUUUUUAACCUAUAUAGUACUUUUCUUGCAUCUCAGUUUGCUUAUCUAUAGAAUGAGGAUUAAUAAGACCUACCAACUUCAGGGGGUCAUUCUGGUGAGAUAAGUGAAAAAAUUUGUAAAGAAGUGUAUAAAUUUACCAUUGUUUUUUAAAACUAAAAUGAUCUCUAACACUAAGUUGAUGAUCUGAUCACAAAGAUGGGGUAGAUGAAAUGAAGAGAAAAGGUUUCUGACAUUUGUAUACUUAGAAAUGUAUCCAG
RNAcentral lists this long non-coding RNA (2041 nucleotides) under Homo sapiens (human). RNAcentral describes it as "HSALNT0294511". The record is from RNAcentral. Lineage: Eukaryota; Metazoa; Chordata; Mammalia; Primates; Hominidae.